GAAUAGAGUCCGUGGGAUUUCUGAGGAGAAAUCAAACUCAUCGUUUGGUAGUGGGGAAUUGCGAAAGUUACACCAACCAUAAAAUUAAAAGGAAAAUUAAAUCAUUUAUACAUUGACCACAUUGCCCUUCAUUCACCACCCCUUUCAUCCCCCAACUCUAUUUCUCUUUCUGCUCAAGAUGAACUCCCUCUCUUCAUCUUCACCGAUUCGUUUUCCGCCUUCAUCUGUACUGUCUCCCUCUCUCUAAAAUUCAUAGUUUUGUCGAUUGCUCCUGAAGACGAAGUUGCCAUCCGCUGCAUACCCGUGGCGUUGAUCAAGAACGAAAGUUAUGAUGACGCUCUAAUUCUGCGAUUUACCACGCGUGGACGCUUUAGCUUCAGCUUGAUUUUAGGGUUUUCGAAUCUUGCCAAAGUUCAUGAUGCAAUAAUAGCUUUGGUUUCUUCAUGAUUUGUGAAAUAAAAUAAUAAUUUGGUUUCUUAAUGGAAAGCUUUGGUUGUUCACGAUGAUUGGAGUAUGCAGGGCGGCGGUGAGGUAGGUGGGCUUUUUUUUGGACGGCAAUGGUGGAAGAGGUAAGAAAAAGAGAGGGACAAGGGGCAACAAUGGAAAGUUAAUUUUAGUUGGAGAGAAACUCUGGGUUUCUCACAAAUGUUGGUCAAGAGCAACAUUUUCAAGAAUAUCAAAUUUGGAUUAAAUGUGGG
This 698-nucleotide long non-coding RNA is filed under the name Linum usitatissimum (flax). Its description in RNAcentral is "long non-coding RNA (LUSI_LNC007194)". Lineage: Eukaryota; Viridiplantae; Streptophyta; Magnoliopsida; Malpighiales; Linaceae. The record is from RNAcentral.